This 83-nucleotide transfer RNA is filed under the name Bacillota bacterium. RNAcentral describes it as "tRNA-Leu". It matches the Rfam family "tRNA". Rfam says of the family: Transfer RNA (tRNA) molecules are approximately 80 nucleotides in length. Their secondary structure includes four short double-helical elements and three loops (D, anti-codon, and T loops). The record is from RNAcentral. Lineage: Bacteria; Bacillati; Bacillota.
GCGAGAGUGGCGGAAUCGGCAGACGCGCACGUUUGAGGGGCGUGUGAGCAAUCGUACGGGUUCAAGUCCCGUCUCUCGCACCA